This 206-nucleotide ribosomal RNA is filed under the name uncultured bacterium. Its description in RNAcentral is "partial 16S ribosomal RNA". It matches the Rfam family "Bacterial small subunit ribosomal RNA", at positions 568 to 774 of the family's 1533-position model. The record is from RNAcentral.
CGUCUAGGCGGCUUGGCAAGUCGGAGGUGAAAUCCCUCGGCUCAACCGAGGAACUGCCUCCGAAACUGCCGGACUUGAGCCCGGAGAGGGUAGCGGAAUUCCCAGUGUAGCGGUGAAAUGCGUAGAUAUUGGGAGGAACACCAGUGGCGAAGGCGGCUACCUGGACGGGUACUGACGCUGAAGCGCGAAAGCGUGGGGAGCAAACA